AUUGUAUCCCCAGCACCCAGCAGAGGAAGUGAUUCAUAGUAGAUUCUUUAAAAUAUCUGUUAAAAAUAAUUGAAUGAAUGAAUCAUGGUGCACUGCCCAUCUUGCAAGCAAUGGAUUGUCUGAGGAGAGCAUUCAGGAUUUCAGAUCCAGGCCCAGAAGCCCUUGUACUCACUGCAGGCUCCGUCAGGUCUAGGAGAUGACCUAGCCCCUAGGGUUGGACUUCCGAGAGCUCAGCUUCAGGCAGCUUCCGCCGGAGUUGAGAAUUUAACAGAUUUUACCCCAUUCCCAGGACAGGAUUUUGCCUCUUGAUAAAUAUGAAAUUAUUUUGUAAAUCAUCAAACAAUGUAUUCCUGUUAGAGAUGAUAGUAACGAUUAUUACGCUUUUCACGAGUCAGCCCACCUUCUGCAUCUACUGAGAGUGGCAGGGAAGACUUUGAGCCUUCCUCCUUUCCAAGAGCUGUUAACAACCGGUACAGAUAGAAAUUCCAGGUGACAGUUAAACCAGUUAGUCCCGGGGAGAAAUAAUAAAGGGGAAGAUGAGAAAUUGAAUAGAGGGAAAGAUUGAAAGAGAGAAAAGACAAGGCAGCAGGGAGUAGCUCCCACAGUCUUAGGAAAGAGGAGGGGCCAAGGAUCCAGCUCAGCAUUCAUUCUCCGGACAACCCUGUGAGGUCAAUAUUAGAAUUGGCCCAUUUUACUCGUAGGAAACGUGGCUAUGGGGCUCUGUGGCAUCUAUUCCCCCUUCCUAACCACACACCGGUUCUCUUGUGAGGAGCGUGGUAACUGGUUUCCAAGAUGAUCCCAAUGAGGCUCGCCUUCUGGUAUUCCCACGCUUCACAGUCCCCACUCAAGUUGAAUCAAGCUGACCUGUUGUGUGUGCUUAAUACAUAUCAACUUGAUAUGUAUCAACUGCCAACCGUCCUAUAAGAGGGAAGAGGCCAACAGUGGAAGCUGGGAGGCCAAUUAGGAGGUGAAUGCAAUAAUCCAAGUGAGAAGAGAGAGUGACUUGGACAAAGGCCGUGGCAAGGAGGAUGAUGGAGGCACACCAUCACAGGAAGACACAAGGAAAAGCAGUGCCUUUUCGAAAACUAGUUUGAAGACCCUUAUUAAGGCCCCUGUGCUGUGGUAGGAAGAAUGCGGGAUUGAGGGGCCCUGCCGUGAACCAGCAGUGUGCCUUUGGGAAUAUGUCUCACCUGCUCACUCCUCAGUCCCCUCAUCUAUGAAAUGGGGACCUGAAUGCCCCAUGAGGUUGUUCUGAGGAUUAAAGGAAUUGAAAUGGGUCAAGUACAACGAAGAAUGUCACAAAUAAGUUAUGUUAUGCUAAUGAUAUAUUUCUUAGUUGCUAUUAUUACUGUUGUUGUCAUUGUUGUUAUUGAAUUGACUCUGUGGCAAUCAGCUUUGUGAUUUUGGGCAAGUCAGUGCACUUCUCAAAGCCCUUGGGCUCCUGCCCUCUUAGGAGCUCGCACACAUCCCACAGCAGUUGGCGAAUAGCGCUCUGUUCCAGGUUCUGAGAUCCAGAAAAAUGCCACAACUGCACAUUCAAGAGGCACAGCGACUGAUGAGGAGCGCUUACAGGGAUACGAGGGCACUGUCAGCAGUGGUAGGGGAGGUGGUCCACCUGGGUGAUGAGGGAGCCGGGAGAGGGCAAGUCCACCAUCGUACCUCCUCCCUGUCUCCCUUUCCCACCGGAAGAAUAAUUUCUCCAGUCUCCCCCCGCUUCCCCCUUGCACCCUGGAUCCCAGGAAGAGCUGUGCAAAGUGCUCUGAACAUCCUAUCCUAUGUGCCUACGAUUUCAAGAAAACAAUCACAUUUCGUCAAUUUAUUCCAGGAAACAGGUUCCAUAACAAAAGGAAAGGCCCAAACUUCUGAGAAAAUCUAUCCAUUUACAGAAUUUGUAGGGUCUUGCUCAUGUUUGAAUUUCCCCUACUGAUAACUGUUGGCAUUCCAUCUCCUGCCACGUCAAAUGCAUUCCCUGAGACUGGGUGUACCUUGCCAAGUUGGGACGGAAUUGCUCAUGGGCAGCCCACAGGAAUCAUUGGGUGCCUGAAGCUGUGCCAACACGCGAAGAGGAAGGAAGAGUGAGGAGAGUUAUGGGCUAAGGGCCAGGAGCAUACCCAACUGAGGCAUAGAGCAUACCAGGCAAGCCAGUCAUCUGGCCCCUGACUCAACUAAAAACAUUAUUUAGUUGCUAGCAUCAGAGACCUAACCGUAGUACCUUCAACAAGAGGUUUACUUCUCUCGCGCGUAAAAGAAGUCUGGAGGGCUUCUACGAUGGCUCCACAAACUCAUCAGGGACCCAGGCUCCUUGUAGCUUUCUGCUUCACUAUCCUAGUUCAUUGCUUUUAUCCUUCAUGUUUGCCUCAUGAUCCAAGAUGGCUGCUGAGAGCUCCAGCCAUUACAUUCACAGUCCAGGCAACGAGAAGGAGGAACCAAGGAAGGGUAAAAAGAGCGUGCACACACUCUACCUUUCACAGAACCUUCCCAGAAGUCCCAUACAACAAUUCUGCUUAUAUCUCAAUAGCCAGAGCUCAGCCACACAGCCGCUCCUCACUGCAGAGGGGAGGUUCUGUUACAUAUGGAGACACUGAGAGUUGUUUGAGAAAAAGAAGAGAAUGAGGACUGCUAGUAGUGGCACAGCCUCUGUUUUACUGUCCUGAACAAUUCUGCUCUGGCCCCAAAUUUGCACAGACACUUAGCACAAAAGUUUCAUAGAACACUGCAUUUACUUGUUACUCGAAUAUUCCGCAGGGAAUGUCAAAAGAUUUCUUCCAACCAUGUUCUAACUAUACUCUCCCACAGAGGAAUUCCAGUAAACAGAGUUUGCUCCAUGUCGGUACGUUUCCAAGGAUACUUUAGCUUAACAGCAAUGUUGAAACUCUCUUCAAAAACUGGUGGUCUGAGAAGUUACCCAGCAGGUACACUCGUAAGUCUGGUUCUGACUAGAAGACCUAGGUCUUAGUCUUGGC
This is a long non-coding RNA of Equus caballus (horse), 2963 nucleotides long. The record is from Ensembl. Lineage: Eukaryota; Metazoa; Chordata; Mammalia; Perissodactyla; Equidae.